RNAcentral lists this unclassified non-coding RNA (433 nucleotides) under soil metagenome. RNAcentral describes it as "partial contains 5.8S ribosomal RNA, internal transcribed spacer 2, and large subunit ribosomal RNA". The stretch from base 1 to 120 matches the Rfam family "5.8S ribosomal RNA", at positions 35 to 154 of the family's 154-position model. The record is from RNAcentral.
GAUGAAGAACUUAGCGAAAUGCGAUACGUAAUGUGAAUUGCAGAAUUCAGUGAAUCAUCGAAUCUUUGAACGCAUAUUGCGCUCUCUGGUAUUCCGGAGAGCAUGCUUGUUUGAGUAUCAGUAAACACCUCAACUCCCUUUUCUUUUUUGAAAUGGGAGCUGGACUUGAGUGAUCCCAACACUUUUCUCACUGGAAAGUGGUGGGUCACUUGAAAUGCAGGUGCAGCUGGACUUUUCUCUGAGCUAUAAGCAUAUCUAUUUAGUCUGCCUAAAAAACAGAUUAUUACCUUUGCUGCAGCUAACAUAAAGGAGAUGAGUUCUUGUGCUGACUGAUGCAGGAUUCACAGAGACAGCUUUGCGGCUGACUUUGUAAACUCGAUCUCAAAUCAAGUAAGACUACCCGCUGAACUUAAGCAUAUCAAUAAGCGGAGGA